GACGAACGCUGGUGGCGUGCUUAACACAUGCAAGUCGAACGGAAAGGCCCUGCUUUUGUGGGGUGCUCGAGUGGCGAACGGGUGAGUAACACGUGAGUAACCUGCCCUUGACUUUGGGAUAACUUCAGGAAACUGGGGCUAAUACCGGAUAGGAGCUCCUGCUGCAUGGUGGUGGUUGGAAAGUUUCGGCGGUUGGGGAUGGACUCGCGGCUUAUCAGCUUGUUGGUGGGGUAGUGGCUUACCAAGGCUUUGACGGGUAGCCGGCCUGAGAGGGUGACCGGCCACAUUGGGACUGAGAUACGGCCCAGACUCCUACGGGAGGCAGCAGUGGGGAAUAUUGCACAAUGGGCGGAAGCCUGAUGCAGCAACGCCGCGUGCGGGAUGACGGCCUUCGGGUUGUAAACCGCUUUCGCCUGUGACGAAGCGUGAGUGACGGUAAUGGGUAAAGAAGCACCGGCUAACUACGUG
This 468-nucleotide ribosomal RNA is filed under the name uncultured bacterium. RNAcentral's name for it is "partial 16S ribosomal RNA". It matches the Rfam family "Bacterial small subunit ribosomal RNA", at positions 28 to 507 of the family's 1533-position model. The record is from RNAcentral.